ACAGGGUGUGGCGGCGCGCACCUGUAGUCCCAGCCAUGCUGAAGGCUGAGGCCGGAGGAUGGCUUCAGUCAGGAGUUCUGGGCUGCAGUGCACUACAUACUAAGUUUGGCAUCGAUAUGGUGACCUCCCAGGAAUCGGGAACCACCAGUUUGCCUAAGGAGUGAAACAGCCAAGAUUGGAAACGAAGGAGGUCAAAACUCCCAUGCUGAUGAGCAGUGGAAUCAUGCCUGUGAAGAGCCACUGCACUCCAGCCUGGACAACGCAGGGAGUCCCCAGCCCUUU
Molecule: unclassified non-coding RNA, 282 nt
Organism: Macaca mulatta (Rhesus monkey)
Lineage: Eukaryota; Metazoa; Chordata; Mammalia; Primates; Cercopithecidae
Rfam family: Metazoan signal recognition particle RNA
About the family: The signal recognition particle (SRP) is a universally conserved ribonucleoprotein. It is involved in the co-translational targeting of proteins to membranes. The eukaryotic SRP consists of a 300-nucleotide 7S RNA and six proteins: SRPs 72, 68, 54, 19, 14, and 9.
Source: Ensembl